Molecule: ribosomal RNA, 250 nt
Filed under: uncultured bacterium
Lineage: Bacteria
Description: partial 16S ribosomal RNA
Rfam family: Bacterial small subunit ribosomal RNA
Source: RNAcentral
CGGGUGAGUAACGCGUAGGUAACCUGCCCUUUUGUGGGGGAUAACCAGAAGAAAUUCUGGCUAAUACCGCAUAAGUAGUACGACAUGGGAAAAGUACUAGAAAGGAUGCCUCUACUUGUAAGCAUUCACAGAAGGAUGGGCCUGCGUUGCAUUAGCUUGUUGGUGGGGUAAUGGCCUACCAAGGCAACGAUGCAUAGCUGGUCUGAGAGGAUGAUCAGUCACACUGGAACUGAGACACGGUCCAGACUCC